UACGUAGGGUCCAAGCGUUAUCCGGAAUCACUGGGCGUAAAGCGUGCGUAGGUGGACUUUUAAGUGCAAUGCGAAAUCCUGUGGCUCAACCAUAUGGACUGUAUUGCAUACUGGAAGUCUGGAGGACAUGAGAGGCAAGUGGAAUUACCGGUGUAGCAGUGAAAUGCGUAGAUAUCGAGAGGAACACCUGCGGCGAAGGCGGGUUGCUGGGCUGACACUGACGCUGAUGCGCGAAAGCCAGGGGAGCGAACGGG
This 254-nucleotide ribosomal RNA is filed under the name uncultured bacterium. RNAcentral describes it as "partial 16S ribosomal RNA". It matches the Rfam family "Bacterial small subunit ribosomal RNA", at positions 524 to 776 of the family's 1533-position model. The record is from RNAcentral.